Long non-coding RNA from Oreochromis niloticus (Nile tilapia), 3652 nucleotides. The record is from Ensembl. Lineage: Eukaryota; Metazoa; Chordata; Actinopteri; Cichliformes; Cichlidae.
GGCUCGGCAGGGAGUGAGAGUCACAGGUGUCGAGCCUACUGCAACAGAAGGAGAGCCGGAUUAUUGUCAGGUAGAGAAUACCGGAAGCAAGAUGAGUCUUUACUAGAGAUCAUGCUUACUUGGAAAGUGAAGAGUAAUGUGCUCCAAGGGAGAUGCAACCAGGUGAGUAUUGAGGUGAGAGGCGAAAUGAAUGAGCCCAAGAUGUCUGACAUUUUCUUCCUGUUGCAGUGAUCUGGCUGAGCAGAAGAGCAGCCAGGUAAGAUGUCUGAGCAUUGUGUUCUUCCAGACCACUGAGGAAAAGCAUCCCACAGAGAAAUUAAAGAGGAAAAAGAGCAGAUAUGAGAUCGGACGUGAACGGAGAGAAGACUCGAAGGGAGACAGCAGGACAGCCACAUUGCUUCCAGAAGAAGAUAGUAAUAAUAAAAUGCGUUAUUGUUGGGGUAUAAAACUGUAUGGCCUGAUCCAGGGUCAUCCUCUUUGUGAAGACAUCUGUUUUCACAUAGAGGUCCAGCAACUUGUCAUUUCAACAGCUGAAGCAAAUUAAAUCUUUUUAAAAGACAGAUAUUUCAGAUAAAAAAAGUUGACUUGACUUUUGGAAAAACCGGACAGGACAUUUCAAAGCCCACAGUUACUCCCUUUCAUUGUUGUCCUUUUGCAGAUGUUCUAAAAUAUUAGAGAGGAAACAGGUGUUUUAAAAUUAUAAUCUAAAAUUAAAAUGUCUAGCAAAAACAGCUGCAAGAAACAAAAAAUGGACUUCAUGUAGAAAAACUUUUUUUUUGUAUGUAGGUCAGUUUUCGUUUCAAAUCAGACAUGACACAUUAGAAGUCAUAAUACACAAAGGUAAGGGAGGAGUUGCAAAGAAAAAUAGAUAAGGUGUGUCAACUGCUGAUAUUUGUUUUUACAAACAGCUAGCUCUUCAUGAGAAGUCUCUCAGUUUACCUUGUUCCAAAUGCCGAAAAUACCUGUUGCUUUGGGUUCCAACCACAAAUCCCACACCCAAAAGAAAUGGCAGGUGUCUUAGAAACAGUAUCUUUGGAAGUUGUUUGUUCUGGCACUUUAUCAGUUUUUGUUCAAAGCUGAAUAAACAACUUAGAUACAUAAGUGAAGGUACAGCCAACCUCCUGCUGUGAUGUAAAUGGAUGGCAUUUGGGGACUGUUUGACUUCACGAUUGCUGCUUUGCCAUUCUGUAAAGCAAGGGUGUCAAACUCCAGGCCUCGAGGGCCGGUGUCCUGUAGGUUUUAGAUGUCAACCUGGGUCAGCACACCUGAAUCACAUGAUUAAUUCAUUACCAGGCCGCUGGAGAACUUCAAGACAUGUUGAGGAGGUAAUUUAGCAAUUUGAAUCAGCUGUGUUGCAUCAAGGCCUGGAGUUGCCUAGUCCUGGCUUAGACCCUUUGCAGAUGUAAUUGAAUUGUUAGAGGUUGAGGUGUCUCUCCUAAAAUGAUAGUGUUUGAAGAAUGCAGCUAAAAGACUAAGAAUUAGUAACUCCUCAAAAGCAAAUGUUUGUACUAUGAUGAAUUCAGAACUACCAGGAUUCCCACAUAACUGAUAAAUUCUUGAUCCUUGAGUCAUUUGGGUUUAAAGUACCAUCAGAUGUUUUUUUCUCAAACUCUGCAUCAUCACAAAACAACUUGGUGCAUGAUCGGAAACUACAGUGCUAUCAUUGUUUACUCUCUUACAUAGAGUUCCAAAGCUAUAGAAAUACCAAAUUAAAAAUGGUGUUCUGAAGUGUUUUAAUGUUGUAUUUGCAUGAUCCUCAACAUAAACCAGGAAUAUAUAGGACAACAUUUGACUAUCUUAUACAUAUAUAUAUAUAUAUAUAUAUAAAAAAAAAAAACACCCAGCGCGCCCCUGCGGGCGGUUUAUCCUUCAAGCUCGGGUCCUCUACCAGAGGCCUGGGAGCUUGAGGGUCCUGCGCAGUAUCUUAGCUGUUCCCAGGACUGCGCUCUUCUGGACAGAGAUCUCCGAUGUUGUUCCCGGGAUCUGCUGGAGCCACUCGCCUAGCUUGGGAGUCACCGCACCUAGUGCUCCGAUUACCACGGGGACCACCGUCACCUUCACCCUCCACAUCCUCUCGAGCUCUUCUCUCAGCCCUUGGUAUUUCUCCAGCUUCUCGUGUUCCUUCUUCCUGAUAUUGCUGUCAUUCGGAACUGCUACAUCGAUCACUACAGCCGUCUUCUUCUGUUUGUCUACCACCACUAUGUCCGGUUGGUUAGCCACCACCAUUUUGUCCGUCUGCAUCUGGAAGUCCCACAGGAUCUUAGCUCGGUCAUUCUCCACCACCCUUGGGGGCAUCUCCCAUUUUGACCUCGGGACUUCCAGGUUAUACUCGGCACAGAUGUUCCUGUACACUAUGCCGGCCACUUGGUUAUGGCGCUCCAUGUAUGCCUUGCCUGCUAGCAUUUUGCACCCUGCUGUUAUGUGCUGGAUUGUCUCUGGGGCAUCUUUACACAGCCUGCACCUGGGGUCUUGCCUGGUGUGAUAGACCCCAGCCUCUAUGGAUCUUGUACUCAGAGCUUGUUCUUGUGCUGCCAUGAUUAGUGCCUCUGUGCUGUCUUUCAGUCCAGCUUUGUCCAGCCACUGGUAGGAUUUCUGUAUAUCAGCCACCUCCUCUAUCUGCCGGUGGUACAUACCGUGCAGGGGCCUGUCCUUCCAUGAUGGUUCCUCGCCUUCCUCCUCUUUCUUGGGUUUCUGCUGCCUGAGGUAUUCACUGAGCACGCUGUCAGUUGGGGCCAUCUUCGUGAUGUAUUCGUGGAUGUUUCUUGUCUCAUCCUGGACUGUGGUGCUGACACUCACCAGUCCCCGGCCCCCUUCCUUCCGCUUAGCGUACAACCUCAGGGUGCUAGACUUGGGGUGAAACCCUCCAUGCAUGGUAAGGAGCUUUCUUGUCUUGAUGUCAGUGGCUUCUAUCUCCUCCUUUGGCCAGCCUAUUACCCCAGCAGGGUACCUGAUCACAGGCAGGGCGUAGGUGUUGAUGGCCCGGAUCUUGUUCUUACCGUUCAGCUGACUCCUCAGGACUUGCCUGACCCUCUGCAGGUACUUGGUGGUUGCAGCUUUCCUAGCGGCCUCUUCAUCGUUCCCAUUCGCCUGUGGGAUCCCCAGGUACUUGUAACUGUCCUCUAUGUCUGCAAUGUUGCCUUCUGGUAGUUCAAUCCCCUCAGUUCUGACUACCUUCCCUCUCUUUGUUACCAUCCGACUACACUUCUCCAGCCCGAAUGACAUUCCAAUGUCAUUGCUGUAUAGCCUGGUAGUGUGUAUCAGUGAAUCGAUGUCUCGUUCACUCUUGGCAUACAGCUUGAUGUCAUCCAUGUACAGGAGGUGGCUGACAACCGCUCCGUUCCGUAGUCGGUAUCCGUAGCCAGUCUUGUUAAUGAUCUCACUGAGGGGGUUCAGGCCUAUGCAGAACAGCAGUGGGGACAGAGCAUCUCCUUGGUAGAUCCCGCACUUGAUGGUGACUUGUGCUAUGGGCUUGGAGUUGGCCUCUAGUGUUGUGUGCCACAUUCCCAUUGAGUUCCUGAUGAAGGCUCUUAGGGUCCUGUUGAUCUUGUACAAUUCUAGGCAUUCCAGUAUCCAGCUGUGGGGCAUUGAGUCAUAUAUAUAUAUAUAUAUAUAUAUAUAUAUAUAAAACAAAGUCAUUGUAGGUAACUUACAC